GGAUCCAGACUUUGAUUCUGGCUCAGGACGAACGCUGGCGGCGCGCCUAACACAUGCAAGUCGAACGAGCGAGAGAGAGCUUGCUUUCUCAAGCGAGUGGCGAACGGGUGAGUAACGCGUGAGGAACCUGCCUCAAAGAGGGGGACAACAGUUGGAAACGACUGCUAAUACCGCAUAAGCCCACGGGUCGGCAUCGACCAGAGGGAAAAGGAGCAAUCCGCUUUGAGAUGGCCUCGCGUCCGAUUAGCUAGUUGGUGAGGUAAUGGCCCACCAAGGCAACGAUCGGUAGCCGGACUGAGAGGUUGAACGGCCACAUUGGGACUGAGACACGGCCCAGACUCCUACGGGAGGCAGCAGUGGGGAAUAUUGCACAAUGGGGGAAACCCUGAUGCAGCGACCC
RNAcentral lists this ribosomal RNA (400 nucleotides) under uncultured Bacillota bacterium. RNAcentral describes it as "bacterial SSU rRNA". It matches the Rfam family "Bacterial small subunit ribosomal RNA", at positions 1 to 397 of the family's 1533-position model. Lineage: Bacteria; Bacillati; Bacillota. The record is from RNAcentral.